Molecule: ribosomal RNA, 253 nt
Filed under: uncultured bacterium
Lineage: Bacteria
Description: partial 16S ribosomal RNA
Rfam family: Bacterial small subunit ribosomal RNA
Source: RNAcentral
UACGGAGGGUGCAAGCGUUAAUCGGAAUUACUGGGCGUAAAGCGUACGUAGGCGGCUAUUUAAGUCGGAUGUGAAAGCCCUGGGCUCAACCUGGGAACUGCAUCCGAUACUGGAUAGCUCGAGUAUGAGAGAGGGUAGUGGAAUUUCAGGUGUAGCGGUGAAAUGCGUAGAUAUCUGAAGGAACACCAGUGGCGAAGGCGACUGCCUGGCUCAAGACUGACGCUGAGGUACGAAAGCGUGGGGAGCAAACAGG